ACUUCGGUGAAGGAUUAGCGGCGAACGGGUGAGGAACACGUGAAGAAUCUGCCUUCAACUCUGGGAUAACUGCGGGAAACCGUAGCUAAUACCGGAUACGACACCUUGGGGCAUCCCAGGGUGUGGAAAGAAUUUCGGUCAAGGAUGAGCUCGCGGCCUAUCAGCUAGUUGGUGAGGUAAAGGCUCACCAAGGCGACGACGGGUAGCCGGCCUGAGAGGGCGACCGGCCACACUGGGACUGAGACACGGCCCAGACUCC
This 259-nucleotide ribosomal RNA is filed under the name uncultured bacterium. Its description in RNAcentral is "partial 16S ribosomal RNA". It matches the Rfam family "Bacterial small subunit ribosomal RNA", at positions 77 to 339 of the family's 1533-position model. The record is from RNAcentral.